AGUGAUUACAGCAUUGAGUCUAAUUGGGUAUGAUGCUACAAGCUUGGCACACCUGUAUUUGUGAGAGUUUCUCUAUUCUUCUCUGCAGAUCUUCUCGUGCUCUGUCAGGUUGGAUGGGGAGCGUCGUUGCCCAGCUAUUUUCAGGUCUCUCCAGAGAUGUACGAUCAGGUUCAAGUCCGGCCUCUGGCUGGGUCAGUCAGGGACAUUCAGAGACUUGUCCCGAAGCCACUCCUGCAUUGUCUUGGCUGUGUGCUUAGGGUCAUUGUCCUGUUGGAAGGUGAACCUUCACCCCAGUCUGAGGUCCUGAGCACUCUGGAGCAGGUUUUUAUCAAGGAUCUCUCUGUACCUUUUUUUAUACAUAUAUAUAUAUUUCAUUAUGGGGUAUUGUGUUUGAUGAGAUUGAUGAGUGAAGAAAACAAUUUAAUCAAUUUUAGAAUACGGCCGUAUUGUAACAAAAUGUGGAAAAAGUGAAGGGGUCUGAAUACUUUCAGAAUGCACUGUAUGUUCUGCAUCUCCCUUGAACCACGAGGUGACAUUACUCUCCUGUUUUUACAAAUACACCGUCCAAUACAUUCCCUGUAAUAUACAUUAAAACAUUUUUGAAUGAAAACACAUUGCCCGGUGCACACGCAUUCCCCCUGUUAGCUAGCAGCUCCUCUCUAUAGCUAGCUAGCCUAGCUUUCAAGCUUGUUAGCUACAUUGAAUUUUCAUUUAAAAAAUAUAGAACCCUGUGACUGAUAAACCUUACAAAGAAUGUCACACCAUGUUUCUAAACACCUUAUAAUUCAUCAACACUCUCGGUUUGGACAAAUAAAGGAAUAGUUACCUGAAAUUAUGGGGGGAAAAAAGGAAGCUCAUGAGAACGUUUCAACUUUAUCAAGUUACUCCGUUUUAGUAAUGAAGACAGUUCAAUUGGAGCGCCCUCUUGUGUCCUGACUAUAAUUGCAUCUACAACUACUGCAUAACAAAUUGCUGAUUGCAUAGGAAUGGAUGUACAUAGUCCAGCAAGUAAAAAAAGCUAUUCCCUGAAUCCCUUUUACUUUUAGUUCUAAGUCAGGGAUUUUGAACCUGCGAAACACAUAUUUUAUAUGUGGUAUCAACAUGUUAAAUCAGAUUUCCCCCUUUAACUGAUCAUUGUCUGCAGCCAGCUCUGAUUGAAGUGUAAAAAGUGCCUUAUGAAACUGGCAGGGAGAGUGAGCUGGUCCGUGGUGGUUGAACCCUCAACCUUCUGGCCCCUUAGCCCUGCAUGACAUCGAUUUGCUUCAGUGACCAAAGUCGAUAUCCACGUUUUUAUAAACACAGGGUCGCAAACAGUUGUUGUUAUUUGUAGUCGUAAACAUUAUUGUUGAGUUGAUUUUCUGAGGGGGGGAGGGUGUGCCUUUUAUUUCACAGGCCCAGGAGAGGGUCAUGAUUUUCUGAGUGGGGAGGGUGUGCCUUUUGUUUCACAGGCCCAGGACAGGGUCAUGAUUUUCUGAGGGGGAGGGGUGUGCCUUUUGUUUCACAGGCCCAGGAGAGGGUCAUGAUUUUCUGAGUGGGGAGGGUGUGCCUUUUGUUUCCCAGGCCAAGGAGAGGGUCAUGAUUUUCUGAGUGGGGAGGGUGUGCCUUUUGUUUCACAGGCCCAGGAGAGGGUCAUGAUUUUCUGAGUGGGGAGGGUGUGCCUUUUGUUUCACAGGCCCAGGACAGGGUCAUGAUUUUCUGAGUGGGGAGGGUGUGCCUUUUGUUUCCCAGGCCAAGGAGAGGGUCAUGAUUUUCUGAGUGGGGAGGGUGUGCCUUUUGUUUC
Oncorhynchus tshawytscha (Chinook salmon) is the source of this 1780-nucleotide long non-coding RNA. The record is from Ensembl. Lineage: Eukaryota; Metazoa; Chordata; Actinopteri; Salmoniformes; Salmonidae.